UUUGUUCUUUUUCGGUGGAAAAAAAAAAACCUAUGUUCUUGAAAGCUUAAUGGUCGAUCUAAGAAUCGAUGAUAAAAUUGUUCGAUUAUCAACCUAUUACGUCUGCGUUUAUCAUCUUUCUAUCUCAAAAUCGGAAUUCUUCAUAGAGAUUAUUACGAAGAUGAUGAUAUUGCCAAUAGAAGACGAUUUACAAAGAUAAGUUCUCUGUUACGAUCUAUUCUAU
Arabidopsis lyrata subsp. lyrata is the source of this 223-nucleotide long non-coding RNA. RefSeq lists it as uncharacterized. NCBI's taxonomy places the organism in Eukaryota, Viridiplantae, Streptophyta, Magnoliopsida, Brassicales, Brassicaceae. The transcript has 2 exons. The record is from RefSeq and is a predicted model, not a curated record.